RNAcentral lists this ribosomal RNA (468 nucleotides) under uncultured bacterium. Its description in RNAcentral is "partial 16S ribosomal RNA". It matches the Rfam family "Bacterial small subunit ribosomal RNA", at positions 28 to 507 of the family's 1533-position model. The record is from RNAcentral.
GACGAACGCUGGCGGCGUGCUUAACACAUGCAAGUCGAACGGAAAGGCCCUGCUUUUGUGGGGUGCUCGAGUGGCGAACGGGUGAGUAACACGUGAGUAACCUGCCCUUGACUUUGGGAUAACUUCAGGAAACUGGGGCUAAUACCGGAUCGGAGCUCCUGCUGCAUGGUGGGGGUUGGAAAGUUUCGGCGGUUGGGGAUGGACUCGCGGCUUAUCAGCUUGUUGGUGGGGUAGUGGCUUACCAAGGCUUUGGCGGGUAGCCGGCCUGAGAGGGUGACCGGCCACAUUGGGACUGAGAUACGGCCCAGACUCCUACGGGAGGCAGCAGUGGGGAAUAUUGCACAAUGGGCGGAAGCCUGAUGCAGCAACGCCGCGUGCGGGAUGACGGCCUUCGGGUUGUAAACCGCUUUCGCCUGUGACGAAGCGUGAGUGACGGUAAUGGGUAAAGAAGCACCGGCUAACUACGUG